UUCGGGGCGUGGACCGACG
This 19-nucleotide small nuclear RNA is filed under the name Arabidopsis thaliana (thale cress). RNAcentral describes it as "snRNA_12953". Lineage: Eukaryota; Viridiplantae; Streptophyta; Magnoliopsida; Brassicales; Brassicaceae. The record is from RNAcentral.